UCCUCCUCUGCCUUUGCCUUGUGCUUCCACUGAGCCCCGGUGUCAGUUGGGAAUGCCCUAAGCAGCGUGUCUACCAGUGUGCGCUUGUAGUCGCGCAUCUUCCGAUCACGCUUCAGUGAGGGAAUUAAGGACGGCACGUUGUCCUUGUAAUGGGGAUCCAGCAGGGUGGCCACCCAGUAAUCAGCACAAGUUAGAAUGUGGGCAACUCGGCAGUCGUUGCGCAGGCACUUUGGUGACUCUAGAUAACCUCGGGCCGAUUGCACGUCCCCGUGACGGCGACGACGCAUUCGGAUGUCUGCC
Pelobates cultripes (western spadefoot toad) is the source of this 300-nucleotide non-coding RNA. The record is from the annotation of a GenBank genome assembly. Lineage: Eukaryota; Metazoa; Chordata; Amphibia; Anura; Pelobatidae.